This 92-nucleotide transfer RNA is filed under the name Nitrospirota bacterium. RNAcentral's name for it is "Nitrospirae bacterium tRNA-Ser". It matches the Rfam family "tRNA". Rfam says of the family: Transfer RNA (tRNA) molecules are approximately 80 nucleotides in length. Their secondary structure includes four short double-helical elements and three loops (D, anti-codon, and T loops). The record is from RNAcentral. RNAcentral also lists the same sequence under 1 other name. Lineage: Bacteria; Pseudomonadati; Nitrospirota.
GGAGAGGUGGCCGAGCACGGCCGAAGGCAACGGUUUGCUAAACCGUCACAGGGGAAACUCUGUCGCGGGUUCAAAUCCCGCCCUCUCCGCCA